This 118-nucleotide non-coding RNA is filed under the name Dermacoccus sp. The record is from RNAcentral. Lineage: Bacteria; Bacillati; Actinomycetota; Actinomycetes; Micrococcales; Dermacoccaceae.
UAAGCCAGGUAGGGUCGGGGCUGGUCGUGAGCUGCGGAACCCGGUGUGAAUCCGGGACGGUCCCGCCACUGUGAGCCCUCGUGCAAGUCAGGAACGCCGCCGCGACCGGCUCGCCGGG